This 2276-nucleotide unclassified non-coding RNA is filed under the name Hevea brasiliensis (rubber tree). Lineage: Eukaryota; Viridiplantae; Streptophyta; Magnoliopsida; Malpighiales; Euphorbiaceae. The record is from RNAcentral.
AAAAAAAAAAAAAUUAUUUGAGUCAAUACAUAUCAUAGGCGGCUGCAACUGUUAUCACAAAAUUUGCUGCACAGCCAUGCACUUCGUGACCUACAAAAAUUCACAGCUCAAUUGAAGGAAAUUCCCAAGUCCCAGCCCUCUUUAUUUUGAAGAAAAAAAAUUGUCAAAUACAGAAUGACACGAAAAUGGAAAAGGGGAAGUUAUAUAAGGACAGAGCAUUUAUGAUUGAAUAGUAAAUUUCAUCCAUCCAUGAGGGGGGAAAGUGCUGAAGUAGAGCAACCUUUUAGUUCAGAUACAACAGAAGAAAUAAUAAAACAUGAUUUACAUUGGAAUUUAUGCACUCCAAACCACAUUUCAACUACUAUCAAGCAUCAAAUAUUGAGGGGGAAAAAAAUUAGUAAUCCUGGACUACACACCAAAUUCUCUUGAAACGUAAAAAAUGUCAUUAUUUCCUUUUUUACCACAGUAUUUGCAUGGAAAUAUCUUCACUACUCCCAUGUUUGUGCCACAACUUCAAACAUGUGAAAAAUGAUAAUCUUCCUUGUAAUAAGUAGGUGAAAAUGCCAAGAACAGGCUGUUGCUUGUCAGUAAAAGAAAUAGGAAAUACUGCCGCAUAAUUACAACAAACUCGAGAAUCAUUGGUUACCUCAUAAAUGCAUGCCCUGGAAUAGUCCAUCCUCAGAAGCACGUGCCAAAUCCGGCAGAAAUUAAUGAUUUUAUUGGUUUCUAUUCUGGGUGUUGGAAUUCGAGAUCUAGUUUCCUCUUCAGAUGGGAUCUGUCAGCACUGUUAAUUGUGGGUCUGCUCAUAGGUCUUGAUCCAAAGACAGAAAAAUCUAUUGACAUUGGCACCUGUUCACUCCUGCCAGUGUAAUUCCCAGCUGCCUGUCUGAUUUCACCAUGUUCAUCAAUCUUAUCAACUUGAUUUGCAUUUCCAUCAUAUCCCUCUCGGUCAGGCAUCACUCUUCUUGCCUUCCUUGGAGGUGAUAACACAGUGGGUCCCUCCCUUGGAUGAAAAUCUGAAGCCCUAGGAUUGACAGAUUCCUGCUUGGGGGCAGGUCUAGGGAGCUUAGCCGGCUCUGUAGGCAGAGGUGCAGAUGAGAAGUACCUGUGCUCUAAUGCCUGUUCCACUGAAAUUCUAACUUUUGGAUCAUAAGUAAACAUCUUUGCCAACAGAUCUAAAGCAUCAUCACUAGCCAUUGGAAACAAUUUACGCCAAGGUUGUGCAGGAACGGAUUGGUAUUCCACAUAAUCAGGGAGGUAUACUAAAUCAGGCCACUGUGAAGGUGUUGGAGUCCCUAUAGCUUGAAAAAUCUUUCCUAAUUGAUCAAUGUCACUUGUCCCCUGCAGAAAUGGUCGGCGGAGGAGGAGUUCAGCAAAUAUACAGGCUGCAGCCCAAACAUCAACCCCAGCACCGUAUUGUUUGGUGCCAAACAACAGUUCUGGUGCUCUAUACCACCGGGCAAAGACUUGGUGAGUGAACUUUCGACCUGGGCUUCCAAAUAUACGUGCUAAACCAAAAUCCGCAAGUUUAAGCUGUCCAUUAGAAGCUAUCAACAAGUUGUUCGGCUUCAUAUCUCUAUGCAAAACCCAUUUCCUAUGGCAAUAAGCCAGUCCUUUCAAUGUCAUUUGGAAGUAUGAUUUUAUGUCAGCUGGUGAAAGAAAUAUGUUUCGAUCACGAAUAACUGCUUCAAGAUCAGUCUCCAUGAACUCAAACACAAGAUGCAAGUUCCCCUUAUGAGGAAAUGCAUCAAUCAACUCAAUUAUAUUAGGGUUUUUAAGCUCUUUAAGGAGUUUAAUCUCUCUAAGUGCUGUAAAAUUUAUCCCUUCCUUUUGCUUCCCAAGGCGAAUUUUCUUAAUUGCCACUGUCUGUCCAGUCUUAGUAUCGAUGGCUUUGUAGACGACACCAUACGUACCUUCACCAAGCACUUCACGCUUUAGAUACCUAUCGGCCACUUUCUUGUCUGUAUCUUUUCCUGACAUUGUUGCUUUUUCUUUAAUUUUCUUUUUCCGUUUUAGUGUAUCUUUUAUAUUACAAAUACCAUUGCAAUUGAUAUUAGCAUAAUCAGAUUUCAGGAAUUUUUCUCAGGAAAUCAUGUUCUGCAAUCCAAAAAAUAGGGUUUGUACACGAGUUCUUUUCUGGGUAUUAUCCUACAUAGUGAAAUGAAUUCUAUAGGCUUGAGGAAGUAGAAGAAGAGAGAGAGCUAAUGCUUGCAGACUGCAGAGUGUGUUUGGAAGGUUGGAAAGAAUGGGAAAGGAGGGGGGAUGGGGCUGUGGGG